GACGAACGCUGGCGGCGUGCCUAAUACAUGCAAGUAGAACGCUGAAGGAGGAGCUUGCUCUUCUGGAUGAGUUGCGAACGGGUGAGUAACGCGUAGGUAACCUGCCUGGUAGCGGGGGAUAACUAUUGGAAACGAUAGCUAAUACCGCAUAAGAGUAGAUGUUGCAUGACAUUUGCUUAAAAGGCGCAAUUGCAUCACUACCAGAUGGACCUGCGUUGUAUUAGCUAGUUGGUGGGGUAACGGCUCACCAAGGCAACGAUACAUAGCCGACCUGAGAGGGUGAUCGGCCACACUGGGACUGAGACACGGCCCAGACUCCUACGGGAGGCAGCAGUAGGGAAUCUUCGGCAAUGGACGGAAGUCUGACCGAGCAACGCCGCGUGAGUGAAGAAGGUUUUCGGAUCGUAAAGCUCUGUUGUAAGAGAAGAACGAGUGUGAGAGUGGAAAGUUCACACUGUGACGGUAUCUUACCAGAAAGGGACGGCUAACUACGUGCCAGCAGCCGCGGUAAUACGUAGGUCCCGAGCGUUGUCCGGAUUUAUUGGGCGUAAAGCGAGCGCAGGCGGUUAGAUAAGUCUGAAGUUAAAGGCUGUGGCUUAACCAUAGUACGCUUUGGAAACUGUUUAACUUGAGUGCAAGAGGGGAGAGUGGAAUUCCAUGUGUAGCGGUGAAAUGCGUAGAUAUAUGGAGGAACACCGGUGGCGAAAGCGGCUCUCUGGCUUGUAACUGACGCUGAGGCUCGAAAGCGUGGGGAGCAAACAGG
This 763-nucleotide ribosomal RNA is filed under the name uncultured Streptococcus sp. RNAcentral describes it as "bacterial SSU rRNA". It matches the Rfam family "Bacterial small subunit ribosomal RNA", at positions 28 to 776 of the family's 1533-position model. Lineage: Bacteria; Bacillati; Bacillota; Bacilli; Lactobacillales; Streptococcaceae. The record is from RNAcentral.